UUUCCGUAGGUGAACCUGCGGAAGGAUCAUUAUUGUAUAACCGAGGUGCGAGGGCUGUCGCUGACCCGAAAGGUCGUGCACGCCCGAGUGCCCUCACACACAUCCAUCUCACCCCUAUGUGCACCACCGCGUGGGUCCCCCUUUGGCUUGUUCGGAGGGGGGCUUACGUUUUCACACAAACUUUGUAUGCAGUGUAGAAUGUAUUUUUUGUUUUUGCGAUCACGCAAUCAAUACAACUUUCAACAACGGAUCUCUUGGCUCUCGCAUCUAUUAAAAACUCAUC
This 283-nucleotide unclassified non-coding RNA is filed under the name plant metagenome. RNAcentral describes it as "partial contains small subunit ribosomal RNA, internal transcribed spacer 1, and 5.8S ribosomal RNA". The record is from RNAcentral.